Molecule: ribosomal RNA, 699 nt
Filed under: Paraboeremia putaminum
Lineage: Eukaryota; Fungi; Ascomycota; Dothideomycetes; Pleosporales; Didymellaceae
Description: partial large subunit ribosomal RNA
Rfam family: Eukaryotic large subunit ribosomal RNA
Source: RNAcentral
CCUUGGAACAGGACGUCACAGAGGGUGAGAAUCCCGUACGUGGUCGCUAGCCUUUACCGUGUAAAGCCCCUUCGACGAGUCGAGUUGUUUGGGAAUGCAGCUCUAAAUGGGAGGUAAAUUUCUUCUAAAGCUAAAUACUGGCCAGAGACCGAUAGCGCACAAGUAGAGUGAUCGAAAGAUGAAAAGCACUUUGGAAAGAGAGUUAAAAAGCACGUGAAAUUGUUGAAAGGGAAGCGCUUGCAGCCAGACUUGCCUGUAGUUGCUCAUCCGGGUUUUUACCCGGUGCACUCUUCUAUAGGCAGGCCAGCAUCAGUUUGGGCGGUUGGAUAAAGGUCUCUGUCAUGUACCUCUCUUCGGGGAGAACUUAUAGGGGAGACGACAUGCAACCAGCCUGGACUGAGGUCCGCGCAUCUGCUAGGAUGCUGGCGUAAUGGCUGUAAGCGGCCCGUCUUGAAACACGGACCAAGGAGUCUAACAUCUAUGCGAGUGUUUGGGUGUCAAGCCCGAGCGCGUAAUGAAAGUGAACGGAGGUGGGAACCUUUCGGGGUGCACCAUCGACCGAUCCUGAUGUCUUCGGAUGGAUUUGAGUAAGAGCAUAGCUGUUGGGACCCGAAAGAUGGUGAACUAUGCUUGAAUAGGGUGAAGCCAGAGGAAACUCUGGUGGAGGCUCGCAGCGGUUCUGACGUGCAAAUCGAUCGU